Unclassified non-coding RNA from Callithrix jacchus (white-tufted-ear marmoset), 301 nucleotides. It matches the Rfam family "Metazoan signal recognition particle RNA". Rfam says of the family: The signal recognition particle (SRP) is a universally conserved ribonucleoprotein. It is involved in the co-translational targeting of proteins to membranes. NCBI's taxonomy places the organism in Eukaryota, Metazoa, Chordata, Mammalia, Primates, Cebidae. The record is from Ensembl.
GCUGGGUGCAGUGGCACAGGCCUGUAAUCCCAGCUAUUGUGGAAGCUGAGGUGGGAGGAUCACUUGAGCCCAGGAGUUCCAGGAUGCAGUGGGCUGUGCCAGUCACUAAGUUUGGCAUCAAAAUGAUGGCCUUCAGGCAUGGGGUGGUAGUGAAUGUGGACCACCAGGUUUCCUGAGCGGGUGUGAACUGGCUUAGGUCUGAACGGAGUAAGUCAAAACUCCGUGUUGGUCAGUAGUUGGACUGUGCCUGUGACUAGCCACUGCAUCCCAGCUUGAGCAACAUAGUGAGACCCUGCCUCUU